RNAcentral lists this ribosomal RNA (401 nucleotides) under uncultured bacterium. Its description in RNAcentral is "bacterial SSU rRNA". It matches the Rfam family "Bacterial small subunit ribosomal RNA", at positions 358 to 773 of the family's 1533-position model. The record is from RNAcentral.
GGGAUAUUGGACAAUGGGGGGAGCCCUGAUCCAGCGACGCCGCGUGAGGGAAGAAGUAUUUCGGUCUGUAAAGCUCUGUCAGCAGGGAGGAAAGAAAUGACGGUACCUGACCAAGAAGCCCCGGCUAACUACGUGCCAGCAGCCGCGGUAAUACGUAGGGGGCCAGCGUUAUCCGGAAUUACUGGGUGUAAAGGGAGCGUAGACGGUUAAGUAAGUCUGGAGUGAAAGGCCGGGGACCAACCCCGGGACUGCUCUGGAAACUGUUCAACUUGAGUGCAGGAGAGGUAAGCGGAAUUCCUAGUGUAGCGGUGAAAUGCGUAGAUAUUAGGAGGAACACCAGUGGCGAAGGCGGCUUACUGGACUGUAACUGACGUUGAGGCACGAAAGCGUGGGGAGCAAAC